RNAcentral lists this ribosomal RNA (419 nucleotides) under uncultured bacterium. Its description in RNAcentral is "bacterial SSU rRNA". It matches the Rfam family "Bacterial small subunit ribosomal RNA", at positions 8 to 429 of the family's 1533-position model. The record is from RNAcentral.
AGAGUUUGAUCCUGGCUCAGAUUGAACGCUGGCGGCAUGCCUUACACAUGCAAGUCGAACGGCAGCACGGGGGCAACCCUGGUGGCGAGUGGCGAACGGGUGAGUAAUACAUCGGAACGUGUCCUGUAGUGGGGGAUAGCCCGGCGAAAGCCGGAUUAAUACCGCAUACGCUCUACGGAGGAAAGGGGGGGAUCUUAGGACCUCUCGCUACAGGGGCGGCCGAUGGCAGAUUAGCUAGUUGGUGGGGUAAAGGCCUACCAAGGCGACGAUCUGUAGCUGGUCUGAGAGGACGACCAGCCACACUGGGACUGAGACACGGCCCAGACUCCUACGGGAGGCAGCAGUGGGGAAUUUUGGACAAUGGGCGCAAGUCUGAGGCAGCAACGCCGCGUGCGCGAUGAAGGCCUUCGGGUCGUAAA